Molecule: ribosomal RNA, 250 nt
Filed under: uncultured bacterium
Lineage: Bacteria
Description: partial 16S ribosomal RNA
Rfam family: Bacterial small subunit ribosomal RNA
Source: RNAcentral
UACGUAGGGUGCGAGCGUUAAUCGGAAUUACUGGGCGUAAAGCGUGCGCAGGCGGUGAUGUAAGACAGAUGUGAAAUCCCCGGGCUCAACCUGGGACCUGCAUUUGUGACUGCAUCGCUAGAGUACGGCAGAGGGGAUGGAAUUCCGCGUGUAGCAGUGAAAUGCGUAGAUAUGCGGAGGAACACCGAUGGCGAAGGCAAUCCCCUGGGCCUGUACUGACGCUCAUGCACGAAAGCGUGGGAGCAACAGG